Molecule: ribosomal RNA, 497 nt
Filed under: uncultured bacterium
Lineage: Bacteria
Description: partial 16S ribosomal RNA
Rfam family: Bacterial small subunit ribosomal RNA
Source: RNAcentral
GAUGAACGCUGGCGGCGUGCCUAAUACAUGCAAGUCGAGCGAACAGACGAGGAGCUUGCUCCUCUGACGUUAGCGGCGGACGGGUGAGUAACACGUGGAUAACCUACCUAUAAGACUGGGAUAACUUCGGGAAACCGGAGCUAAUACCGGAUAAUAUAUUGAACCGCAUGGUUCAAUAGUGAAAGACGGUUUUGCUGUCACUUAUAGAUGGAUCCGCGCCGCAUUAGCUAGUUGGUAAGGUAACGGCUGACCAAGGCAACGAUGCGUAGCCGACCUGAGAGGGUGAUCGGCCACACUGGAACUGAGACACGGUCCAGACUCCUACGGGAGGCAGCAGUAGGGAAUAUUCCGCAAUGGGCGAAAGCCUGACGGAGCAACGCCGCGUGAGUGAUGAAGGUCUUCGGAUCGUAAAACUCUGUUAUUAGGGAAGAAAAAAUGUGUAAGUAACUAUGCACGUCUUGACGGUACCUAAUCAGAAAGCCACGGCUAACUACGUG